RNAcentral lists this microRNA precursor (81 nucleotides) under Bombyx mori (domestic silkworm). RNAcentral's name for it is "mir-2807 microRNA precursor family". It matches the Rfam family "mir-2807 microRNA precursor family". The record is from Rfam by way of RNAcentral. Lineage: Eukaryota; Metazoa; Arthropoda; Insecta; Lepidoptera; Bombycidae.
UUAACUCAACUUUGUAAGGGAUUGGAACGUUUGCCUACGGCUGCCGCUAGGGGCGCUGUUCCAACUCCAUACUUUGAGUUA